AUUGAACGCUGGCGGCAGGCCUAACACAUGCAAGUCGAACGAGUGGCGGACGGGUGAGUAAUGUCUGGGAAACUGCCCGAUGGAGGGGGAUAACUACUGGAAACGGUAGCUAAUACCGCAUACCCUCGGAUGUGCCCAGAUGGGAUUAGCUAGUAGGUGGGGUAACGGCUCACCUAGGCGCCGAUCCCUAGCGGGUCUGAGCGGAUGACCCGACACGCUGGAACGGAGACACGGUCCAGACUCCUAAGGGAGGCAGCAGUGGGGAAUAUUGCACAAUGGGCGCAAGCCUGAUGCAGCCAUGCCGCGUGUAUGAAGAAGGCCUUCGGGUUGUAAAGUACUUUCAGCGAGGAGGCGUUACUCGCAGAAGAAGCACCGGCUAACUCCGUGCCAGCAGCCGCGGUAAUAC
Molecule: ribosomal RNA, 406 nt
Filed under: uncultured bacterium
Lineage: Bacteria
Description: partial 16S ribosomal RNA
Rfam family: Bacterial small subunit ribosomal RNA
Source: RNAcentral